CGGGGGCGGCCACGUAGGGACGCCCACACCCCAAAUUUUAUUUUUGGGUGUUUUCUCACCACUCUUUUUUAGACCCCCCCCCAGGGUUUUUUAACAUUAUUAAGUAUUUCCCGGGUCUUGUAGUUUUGUGGGGGAAAUUGUGAGGGGGGGUAACCAAUUUUUCCCCCCAGGAAAACCCGUUUUGCCCCAUGUUUCCCCCAAAGCUUUUUUGGGGGCCCUAUAAAAAAAACCCAAGUUAUCCUUCAAACGCGUUGGGAGUUUCCCCCUAAGGUGGACCUCCAGGGGGGGCCGGAAUUCAUUAGGAUUUUUGGUCCUUAGAAGAAAGUAAAAAGUUGAAACAAGGGUUUCCGUAGGUGAACCUGCGGAAGGAUCAUUAAAAAAAAAUUAAUAAUUUUGAAAAUGAUUUUUUUGUUUUGCCAAGAGCAUGAGAGCUUUUAUGGGGCAAGAAGACCAAGAGAUGGAGAGUCCCAGCCGGGCUUGCGCUAAAGUGCGCGGUCUUGCUAGGCUUGUAAGUUUCUUUCUUGCUAUUCCAAACGGUGAGAGAUUUCUGUGCUUUUGUUAUAGGACAAUUAAAACCGUUUCAAUACAACACACUGUGGAGUUUUCAUAUCUUUGCAACUUUUUCUUUGGGCAUUCGAGCAAUCGGGGCCCAGAGGUAACAAACACAAACAAUUUUAUCUAUUCAUUAAAUUUUUGUCAAAAACAAGAAUUUUCGUAACUGGAAAUUUUAAAAUAUUAAAAACUUUCAACAACGGAUCUCUUGGUUCUCGCAUCGAUGAAGAACGCAGCGAAAUGCGAUACGUAAUGUGAAUUGCAGAAUUCCGUGAAUCAUCGAAUCUUUGAACGCACAUUGCGCCCCUUGGUAUUCCAGGGGGCAUGCCUGUUUGAGCGUCAUUUCCUUCUCAAACAUUCUGUUUGGUAGUGAGUGAUACUCUUUGGAGUUAACUUGAAAUUGCUGGCCUUUUCAUUGGAUGUUUUUUUUCCAAAGAGAGGUUUCUCUGCGUGCUUGAGGUAUAAUGCAAGUACGGUCGUUUUAGGAUUUACCAACUGCGGCUAAUCCUUUUUUAUACUGAGCGUAUUGGAACGUUAUCGAUAAGAAGAGAGCGUCUAGGCGAACAAUGUUCUUAAAGUUUGACCUCAAAUCAGGUAGGAGUACCCGCUGAACUUAAGCAUAUCA
This 1177-nucleotide ribosomal RNA is filed under the name uncultured eukaryote. RNAcentral describes it as "eukaryotic LSU rRNA". The stretch from base 741 to 894 matches the Rfam family "5.8S ribosomal RNA". The record is from RNAcentral.